CCAUCCUCGUAACAGUUCCGGGCUGCCCGCGCCGCGCAAGGGCGCGCGGGCCAACCGGGCGGC
This 63-nucleotide transfer RNA is filed under the name Cryptomonas paramaecium. RNAcentral's name for it is "Cryptomonas paramecium tRNA". Lineage: Eukaryota; Cryptophyceae; Cryptomonadales; Cryptomonadaceae. The record is from RNAcentral.